This 253-nucleotide ribosomal RNA is filed under the name uncultured bacterium. RNAcentral's name for it is "partial 16S ribosomal RNA". It matches the Rfam family "Bacterial small subunit ribosomal RNA", at positions 524 to 776 of the family's 1533-position model. The record is from RNAcentral.
UACGAAGGGGGCUAGCGUUGUUCGGAAUCACUGGGCGUAAAGCGCACGUAGGCGGAUGUGUCGGUCAGGGGUGAAAUCCCGGAGCUCAACUUCGGAACUGCCCUUGAUACAGCACGUCUUGAGUCCGGAAGAGGUGGGUGGAAUUCCUAGUGUAGAGGUGAAAUUCGUAGAUAUUAGGAAGAACACCGGUGGCGAAGGCGGCCCACUGGUCCGGUACUGACGCUGAGGUGCGAAAGCGUGGGGAGCAAACAGG